Molecule: non-coding RNA, 68 nt
Organism: Podarcis lilfordi (Lilford's wall lizard)
Lineage: Eukaryota; Metazoa; Chordata; Lepidosauria; Squamata; Lacertidae
Source: the annotation of a GenBank genome assembly
CCAUAGCUCAAUAGUUGAGCAUCUGCUUAGCAUGUUGAAGGUCCCAGGAUCAAUCUCUGGCAGGUAGG